This 309-nucleotide ribosomal RNA is filed under the name uncultured bacterium. RNAcentral describes it as "partial 16S ribosomal RNA". It matches the Rfam family "Bacterial small subunit ribosomal RNA", at positions 504 to 808 of the family's 1533-position model. The record is from RNAcentral.
AGAGACAGCAGCGCCACGGUAAUACGGAGGGCGCGAGCGUUACCCGGAUUUACUGGGCGUAAAGGGCGUGUAGGCGGCCUGGGGCGUCCCAUGUGAAAGGCCACGGCUCAACCGUGGAGGAGCGUGGGAUACGCUCAGGCUAGAGGGUGGGAGAGGGUGGUGGAAUUCCCGGAGUAGCGGUGAAAUGCGCAGAUACCGGGAGGAACGCCGAUGGCGAAGGCAGCCACCUGGUCCACUUCUGACGCUGAGGCGCGAAAGCGUGGGGAGCAAACCGGAUUAGAGACCCCAGUAGUCCCUGUCUCUUAUACA